GCCCGAGAAACGGCUACCACUUCCAAGGAAGGCAGCAGGCGCGCAACUUACCCUAAUCUCGAUUCGAGGAGGUAGUGACAAGAAAUACCGAUGCGGGACCCUACGGGUGCCGCGUUCGGAAUGAGUACGAUUCGAACCACCUAACGAGGAACGAUCGGAGGGCAAGUCUGGUGCCAGCAGCCGCGGUAAUUCCAGCUCCAAUAGCGUACGUUAAAGUUGCUGCAGUUAAAAAGCUCGUAGUUGAACGUCCGGGUUCCGCGGGACGGGGCCGCCCCGCGAGGGACGGCGCCGCCCUGGGGCCCGUGGGAUCCGAUCUCGCCGCCCGUCGCGAGGCGGACGGAGGGACGGAUGAGGUUACCUGGAAAAAAUCGGGGCGAUCUAGGCGGGCGAACCUCGCCAACGAACGAUAGGACAUGGGAUAACGGAAGAGGGCAUCGGCUCGACUUCGUCGGUUCCUCGAGCUGAGGC
This 468-nucleotide ribosomal RNA is filed under the name uncultured eukaryote. Its description in RNAcentral is "bacterial SSU rRNA". It matches the Rfam family "Eukaryotic small subunit ribosomal RNA", at positions 394 to 863 of the family's 1831-position model. The record is from RNAcentral.